This 407-nucleotide ribosomal RNA is filed under the name Sphingomonas sp. R-39544. RNAcentral's name for it is "bacterial SSU rRNA". It matches the Rfam family "Bacterial small subunit ribosomal RNA", at positions 21 to 456 of the family's 1533-position model. The record is from RNAcentral. Lineage: Bacteria; Pseudomonadati; Pseudomonadota; Alphaproteobacteria; Sphingomonadales; Sphingomonadaceae.
GGCUCAGAAUGAACGCUGGCGGCAUGCCUAACACAUGCAAGUCGAACGAAGCCUUCGGGCUUAGUGGCGCACGGGUGCGUAACGCGUGGGAAUCUACCCUUCGGUUCGGAAUAACAGCGAGAAAUUGCUGCUAAUACCGGAUGAUGACGUAAGUCCAAAGAUUUAUCGCCGAGGGAUGAGCCCGCGUAGGAUUAGCUAGUUGGUGUGGUAAAGGCGCACCAAGGCGACGAUCCUUAGCUGGUCUGAGAGGAUGAUCAGCCACACUGGGACUGAGACACGGCCCAGACUCCUACGGGAGGCAGCAGUGGGGAAUAUUGGACAAUGGGCGAAAGCCUGAUCCAGCAAUGCCGCGUGAGUGAUGAAGGCCUUAGGGUUGUAAAGCUCUUUUACCCGGGAUGAUAAUGACA